This 28951-nucleotide long non-coding RNA is filed under the name Xyrichtys novacula (pearly razorfish). Lineage: Eukaryota; Metazoa; Chordata; Actinopteri; Labriformes; Labridae. The record is from RNAcentral.
CUGACACAACAGCAGACUGACUGUUUUUAAGUUCCGAUUAGACACUAGUGUUGAGAUGUCUGUCUGUCAUGAUAGCAUGUACUGGGUCGGGGCCAGUACCAGAUAAGAACAUUAAACUAUAAUCCAUAAACAUAAGCAUAACAACCGAGACCUAAUGGUGCUGUGACAGCAAUGCUGUGAUUGAGUUUGAGACAGUGAAAAUACAUAUGGUAUGUUGUAUCUGAACAGGUUAGCUUACGAGCUAAAGUUACUUAGCACAGAUGAAAGUUAAAACAAAGACGUUUAGCACACAACCAUCGUCACAUGAGAAAUCCAACGCUAUGACUCUCCACAAGUUGUCCUUCAGGUCGUUAUCUUUGUAAUAUUUGUGUCUUUUAUCAAAAAGCACUCUGUUCUCCGACACGUAAAUAAUCAGCCGGUCGGCCAUGUUGGAUAUACCGGUGAAUCAGAAGUCGCAACAACACGAAAUCUGAUUGGUCAGAAGUGGACACACAGUAUAAGAAACUUUAGAAAGAUUGACCAUGAUCCGAAAAAAUAAAUGCCGCAAUAUCGCAGGACGGGAAAACGUCGCUGAUGUGAACGCUUGUCAAAAAAAAAAUAUUGACGUCCGAAAUAAUCGCACGUAAAAAUGGUCCCGGUGUGAAAGGACCUUAAGACUGGUUUGUGCUCAAGUCCUCUUUUUUCUGUGCAGCUCGAUUUUCAUGUUUUCUAUGACUGACACUUGAUACAGCCUAUGGGUGUACAAAGACUGCGUAGCUUACCCAGGGGAUACGCUAUUUGAGCCGAGCGUCAUCACAGUGACUCUCAGUGACUCUCCUGCUUAAUGCGUACAACGCUGCUGCGCAAUGUUGGUUUCAGGAAGUGGAGAAAAAAAAAAGGAAUUACCGAGAGCUUUUUGGCUUCAAAUCGGUAUACUGGCGGAAGGCGGAACCAAGUUGUCCAUAGUAUAUACAGUCUAUGAUUUUGACACUUUAUAGCAUUUUUAUUUGUUUUUGUUUACUUUAGCUGCUCAUCUGAGGGCUUCUGUACUGUCCUGCAUCCAAACCAACACCUGUCUCCAUGAUUUCUUCUUUUAGCAACCUUUAAAAAACCAGUGAAGGUUUUCACAAACAGACCUGAAACAGCUUGUGAAUGCCUCUGUGAAGGCUCUUUUAAAUCACAAUUUUAAAAAAGUAAAGUGACACAUGUUCCUGAGCCGUGCUAACCCGGCUCUUUCAGCAUUGUACUUGCGGCAGCAGAGGUCAGGAUGCUGCUGUGAUUUAAUUAUUCUCUGUGAUAAAGGAGCUGCUGGUGAUUCAGUUUAAAAAAAAAAAAAAAGCCUGCAGCGAUGAGAGAGACGGCGCGCUGAAAAAAAAAUCCGGGAUAAAAAGAAAACGAAGAAGUCCAAUUUCAGAUAUCAGACUCAUUAUCCAGAGCAAAGUUAUAAUUAAGAGGCACUUUCAGAAAAACGCUGCAGGGAACAUUAUCAGAGCCCCGUACAGUGAGGAGUGGUUUGCAUGUUCCUGUGUUUCUGAGAGUAAUUACACUUCUCAGGGCUCGGGCUGGCGAUAAUAAAGUCCUGACGGUCUUUUACGCUCGAAUCGAGGAGAAAGUCGACCCUCCUCCCUGCACCAUGCCGCUGCAAAGACACCCAAGGUCACCGAGAUAAAAUAAAUCAGUUAAAGAUCAAAUAGGUCCUGGAGAUUAAAAGAAAAAAAAAAAGAGAGCAGAGGAGGAAAUCAAAGCGGAGCACAGAGGCCGGAGGAGAAAAACACAGAAAAAAAGGAAAAAGAGAAGUGACAGAUGAGAGGGGAGAGGUGACGUCUGGCUGAAAAGGCCAUUAGGACAAUCACAUCACAGCAUGUAAACAUGUACCUGUCAUCUCUGUGCAGAUAGAGUGCCUGCAGAUGAGGAUUACUCACCUCAUCAGGACAUGAUUCAUCAUCAUGUCGGCUCAGUAUCACAGGCUCCUCUCUGCAGAAACCCAAAUCCUCUGGGACUAAUUAAAGAUUAGUUACUGACGGGGAAGAAAGAGAGUUUCGUUCCCGCACAAACGCACAGAAGCAGCUCUGAUUGAAUCACAUCCAAACGCAGAUUGAGUUACAGGCGAGGGUGUGAGGACGUUAUAGCGUUCAGAAGCGGCAGAUGUGCAAAAAUAAAAAAAAAACAUCAACACUGCAUCGAUGACAGCAACCGGCAGAAGCAAUUUCUGACAUCUUGCUACGUCUCCUCGGGAAAAUAGAGGACAAACUAUGUAAGGAGGAGAAAAUUGGAUAUCCUUCAGGAGGAAAAAAGGAUGAGAAACAGUGAUUGUGAUUCCUGGAACGAUGCUGAGGCCAGUGAGGGAAGAGAGGGGGAAAAAAAGGGAAGGCUGUUUGGUAUCACAUUUAGGCUCAGUGGAAACUCAAUCGCUUCCUGUGAUGGGACGAGUUCGCCGAGAAAAGAAAAAGGCUGAAAAGUUUCAGGCGGUUUGCUGUAAUUGGACAAGUUCACAUCCAACAAGAAAAGUGCUGCAUCCCAAAUCUCAACUUCCAUUCAGUGUCGCAAGAAAAUGACCCGAAACAGCCUCCGGUUUGUUUGUAAGAGCGGAGUUUUCAGCUCACCUCUUUAUCUGUGACAUAAAUCCCGCUUUAAAAACACCCCCACCCAGUUUAACCUCCAAUCUGAAUCCGGAUAACAUCUCAAUGAAGGUAUCUGAUCUUCCAGGCUGACAUUUAUACCUGUGUUUGAUAAGACUCCCUGUUAUCUCUGCUCUGUGGAACAUGAUGGGAUCUCUACAUGCAGAUCAGAUAGAGGAGGAGAGCUGGCAGAGUCAUAAACAAACCCGGAGCGUCUUAGGUCAACACCUGCAGAGGAGGAGGAUCUGGAGGGGGGCCUCCGCUCUCACUCUCUUGUUUUCACCUUCCCUGCUGAUUCAUCUUUAAUAUCACACUCUGUUUUUGUGCCCAGAAAUGUUACAAGUCUGCUUCCAGUGUUAGUCUGAUAGAGACAAAAACUUAGGAGGAGUAUUAUUUGAUCUUAUUUCCCCUCUUUUGUGUGGGAUAAUGAUACAGAUCUAUUUAUAUCUCGAUUCAGUUCAGAUUGAUCAGAUUUUCACCUCAGGAUUAUCAUAGCUUUAAAAGUUUCUGUGAAAGUUUAAAAUAAAACAAAUUGAAGACAGACAAACCAAGUUUCACUGACAGAAUAAUCUCAUAUGGAUCUCUUGCAAAAACUCCACCGCAGGAGGAGCUUCAGAUCUGGCAACUCCGAAAAACAUCUCCAGACGCCCAGGCUCAGGCUCUUCACAGUGAGGGAUUGGUCCUUCUUCUGUAUUUCCUUUCACCUGCCGAAUGCUCUUCCUGAUCACCUGAGGGGCCCACAGACUACCGGAUCUUCACAAAAACAAACCGAGGAAGAGAGGGAACAAAACUUCCGUGCAGGAGAGAUCCCAGGACUCUGAGGGAUCCUGUAAGGGUAAUUCCGAAGCAGAGGUGUCUCCUGUUUCGCUGUUUUUGUUAGUUUGUUCAGGUUGUUUGUUUUUUUUUCCAUGAAGGUGUAAAUGUACUGAGUAGAAAGCAAGAAGUAGGAAGAGACAAACCCGCCUUUGGGUCGAGUUUUAUGUUUGCUCCACAGAAAAAAAGAGGACUUGAACACAAACCAGUGUUACUGUAACUACAUGUCAACAUCAAAAGCAGGGGGGAGAAAAAAAUAUAUUCUGUGUAAUAAACUUCUAAAGUUUGUCCACAGCUCCAUAAGCUUUGCUGGCAGAGGCGGGAUUUAUGACCUAUACUGCAGCCCGUCAACAGAGGGAGCUGUACUCGAAGUGGCUUCACCCAGCAAAGAGGCAGACGGUGUCCAUUCUAUACAAUCUAUGGUUGUGUCGUUUGUAAAUGAUUUGUUCAAAGGAAUUGAAUCUUUUUUAGUGAACGUACUGAACCAAAUCACUUCCUUAAAUGAUUUGUUUGUUUCUCACUUCAAUUGAGCUGGGCUAGCAGCUGGCGAGUGAGGGAACGCACUUGGUAAACUACACUCUCUGGAGUCAUUUUUGUCUGAGGGAUACACUUUCAUGGCAACCGUUGUUCCCUGUUGUUUUAACAACAACAAUAACUUGCGUACAGUAGGAUACAGCAUGUAACAAGUAAACGCAGUUUGAGAAAUGCGUGACUGUCCGAUCCUAUCAUUGCGGCAAUUUGCGAGGGAACGGUGCAUGUUUAGGGUGAAUUCUUCAUUGAAUGUAAUGUGGGGUAAACGUUCAGUGAACAAAUCACUCACAGAGCCCAAUUUACCGAGUAGACCGGAUAUAUAUAUGUUCACACUGCAGGCUGUUAAAUCCGAUCUUUUUGUGCGGUCGUUCACAUUACUACAAUGAAUGUGGCAACUAAUGUGAACAGAAUGCAUUCGUGAAGUGACCCGCAUGCGCACAAAGCACAAAUUGCUUUCUGCACCUGUUUGUGUUGUCAAACAAUGGUGAUGUUUGUUGCAUAUUGAUGACGGAUGAAUUGCACUGUUCACACUUACAUGAAAAAAUCAGAUAUGUGUCACAUAUGGUUAAAAAAUCGGAAUUGACCUGCAGUGUGAACACAGCCUAAAAGAACUGCCACGCCCAUCACUACUGCUUUAUGGGAUAAUUUGGCGUUUUAAACUUGCUUUAAACAGUUUCUCUGAACUCAAGUUAAAUCUCUGAGAAGUUUGUCUUCCCAGGAUUGAAGCAGAUCCUACCUCAGCCUCUUACUCUCUGAGCCAGCAGGACACCUGAUAGAGAGUGUAGUUUUUUAAGACUAGAUAUAAAGUAAAUCUGGACUCAGCUCAGAUGAAGCCCACAUCUAUCCCGUCCUGAGUUAUUGAUGAGAUUUGUAAGCAGAGCCUGGAGUCUGAGGGCCGUGUUCGAGCGUUUCGUCGUGCAGACGUGGAACAAAGACGAGAAGGGAAUGUGUUUGGGGGCUAAUGAUGACACAAAAGCUCUGGUGUCUGUUCCUCCCAAUUCACAGAUGGAUUUUCAGCUUAUUUUUGGAACAAAAGAUAAAUAUUUAAUAAGACUGAAAAACCCACAGCGUGAGGACGCGCUGGCGUCAGUUGCUUCGAGGUUUGGCAGGAAGCAAUAAUUCAUGAUAGCGUCUGUUUGAUGUUUGUCAUUUUUUACCAGGAAAAGCAGAGUUACUCUGCCGCUUUUCUUCUCAGAAGUUGAGAAUGAACCACCCGAAGAUCCUCAGGUUUAUUUCUUAUAGAUGUGCAGUGUGUCUACAGAGUCAGUCUGAGGAGUCAAACACGGAAACCACGGAAAUAUCAACAAGUGCUUUUACUACAUCUUAGAAAAAGGCAGGGUAGCAGGAGGUGACAUAAGGACCUGAAGGCAGACAGUAAGAGGGAAAGUUCAAGUCUGAUCACUGCAUUGCAAAAUCAAGAGCACAAAGGAUUACAGGCGGAUUACAAGGUGAAGGCAGAGAGUUCUGGCCGGAGGUCAAAUGAGGUAGAAAAAAAGUCAAGAAGAUGAGCUGACUGAUCAAAAAUGGAAUGUUUUUAUUAGAUGCCAAAGUUGGUGAUCGGUGAUGAGAGUAUGAUGUCAUUGCCAGAUACAGAUACAGCUGUUCUAUCAGAUGAGAGGACUUGUUGCUCAUUGUGACCUUCUUCUCCUCCAGGCAGGUGGAUGAAGAUGGUCCGGCAGCAGAGGUGGUAGUUUUCAGGUCCAGUGUCAAGUGUGGAUUAACCCUUGAGGAGCUCCACAGGUGACAUGGCGUGCAUUACUUUGUGUAUAAAAAAUUGAUCAGGUUCUGGUCCAUGUUUUCUGUCAUUAAACUGUGGUGAUUUUUUAAGGUCUCAGUAGAGGACCAACAAGACCUCAUUUUAUGCUGCGUUCCAGUUACCUCGAAAAUCUAAUGUCGGAGCUGGGAAUGACGUUACAGCCCAGUUGACGGCAUUCUGGUAAACAAGUCGGAAAACCAAGAUAGACGCCCUCUGUUAGCUGUUGUUGGUCAUUGUUUCCAAUUUUCAGCUGUUGUUAGCUGUUGUCAGCUAUACCAGUUGUAAACAAUGCAUAAACACAGUAUUUUACUCUUAGAAACACCAUGGCACCGUGUUCACAGUUAGACAUUGGGCACUAGUACAACAUAUUCCACUUAUUUAAUUUCACAAAAACAAAAAAUAGUGCGAAUAGAUAUAAUAUUACCAGAGCUUUCAAUGUUACUCUUUAAUGUUGAUGCACUGCACUGCCAUCUUGAAUUAUGACGUUGUCGUCAAGUUGGUGUUGGUGAGGAUCAUCCGACUUUCCAUGUCGGGGGCGUUCCACAUGAAUUUCUCACUCAGAGCUUGGAAAUUCCGAUUUUCGAGUACAACUGGAACGCAGCAUCAAGGUCCUUAAACACCGGGAGCGUUUUUUUCGUGCGAUUAUUUCGGUCAUCAAUUUUACUUUGGAACCCAUAUCCUGUCAAUACAAGCGUUCACAUCAGUGACGUUUUCCUGUCCUGCGAUAUUGAGGCUUUUUUUUUUUUUUCACAUCAUGGUCAAAUUUUCUAAAGUUUCGCAUACUGUGUGUCCACUUCUGACCAAUCAGAUUGCAUGUUGCAUGUCAGAUUCACCAGUAUAUCCAACAUGGCCGACCGGCUAAUUGUUUACGUGUCGGAGAACAGAGUGCUUUUUGAUAAAAAAACACAAAUAUUACAAAGAUAACAAAAUAACAGUUUGCUAAACGUCUUUGUUUUAUCUUUCAUCUGUGCUAAGUAUCUUUAGCUCGUAAGCUAACCUGUUCAGAUACAACAUACCAUAUGUAUUUUCACUGUCUCAAACUCAGUCGCGUUGCUGUCACAGCACCGUUAGGUCUCGGUUGUUACCUUACAUGCUAUCAUGACAGACAGACAUCUCAACACUAGUGUCUAAUCAGAACUGAAAAACAGUCAGUCUGGUGUUGUGUCAGUCUUCUCACUUCCACCUGAGAUGCGUCUUUUCUUCCCCCUUGGAAAGUCGCAAAAUCGCAUCACGUCUGAUGUGUAUGGUCAGGCGCGUCAAAAUUCGCCUCUGAAUAUUUCGUAAUUUCGCGUUGUAGGCUAUAUGAACGUCAUUCCCGGCGAGAAAGGACCUUUAGAGUCUAUCAAAUCAGAGGAAUCUGCACAGCCUUUUGAGAGCUCUUCAUUUUUUAACAAAGUAAAUCAUACUGUCAGCUUAGAGGAGUUACAGAGCUUGGUUAGUUGUAGAGUUUGUAAUUCAGUGGCAAUGUGCCUUUAACCAGGGGACCUCUGUGAGAUUCAGUUGUUUCUGUAUUCAUAUGCCAUGUUUAUAUGCUGCAGGAUUUUCCUGCUGCUCUGAUUUAAACAAAAUGUUGAUCCCUGAAAUCCAGCAGUCAUUUCAGGGAUGAGAGGUUUAUCUCCUCCAAAUCUCGCUGUGUUGUCAUUUUGAAGAUUGCCUCACAACAGGUGAGGUUUGAACAAUCGCGCAGUGGCUUUAUUUGUUUUCUGUUGGCGUGCAAAGGCUGUCUGAGCGAGAUGAAUCUUAUUUAAAAGAAACCAAGGGAGUCAGACAUGGUUUUUUUGUUUCCAAUCUGUCACAUUUCAGUGCUGCGUGUAAUUUUCAUUGGGGAUCCCUCUCCUCUGCAGCACACAUAAGCACACAUAACAACAUUUCAUGCUUGUACGCUGCAGGGCAGGCGAGUCUCUGAGGAGACAGACGCCGUGUCCUGACUAAUUUGAACAACAUACAAACUGAUUAUAAACAGGAGGCCGCCGGGCGUUCUCUGUUUUCAAUUUCAAUGCUCCAUCACAGCGUGGGAGCACGUAGCUGCCGCCUCACAGCGCCCUGCUUGAGUGUGUGUGUGUGUGUGUGUGUGUGUGAGGAAGGAUCAAUACAUAAACACAUCCACAGACUGACGUUAGCCACCGUCAGCUCGCUCUGUGCUGUUUAGGCCCCCGGACAGAGUGGGACGUCCUCCUGAUCAUUUCAUUGAUCAUGCUCAGCCUGGAAGUGCUGAGCAGGGCGCUUUGAAUAAUUAGCUGCAGCAGUCAUUAGAAGAAGUCUUUCACACAAAGAGCACAUUACAGACUGUGCAGCUUAUUUAGGUGCAAACAUUAACGGGGAUCAUUAGCAUACUUUGUGCUCAUUGUGCAGCUCUGUUUGGUUUGUAACUCAGCUGAUAAUCAGAACUUUGAAAUGUAUAUCAAUUUAACUCACACGCCGUGUUUCCCGUCUUUAUUGUGUGUCAUUAGUGUCUUCUUGGUAUCUUCUUUUACCUUCUCACUUUGGUCUCAGUGUUUUUGCUUAUGUUUGAACUUCUUCAACUUUUUUUUUUGCCUUUUUUAUUUUAAGAUAAUUUAAUCUUUUAGUUUAAUCUGCAUUUUGGGUCCUUUCCUUUUGUUAAAACUGUGAUAACUUUAACCUAGUCACUAAACAUGGUUUAUGUGUCAAUCCGAGAAGUGUUUCACUUUACUUAAACCACCAGAGAACAUGUUUGUUUUUGCACUAUUUGCAGAUACACGGUCCUUGGGGCAAAUUCUUACCUCAAAAAUGCUGAAAUGUCCCUUUAAUGCAUGGUGGUGACUGAUAAAAAACUCUCUCACAUUGAAUAUAUGUAGAAAAAGUUACUAACAUGGCUUUUGACUUAUUUUAAAAUGAAAAGAGACAUAGAGACUGCUUUAGUUUGUAGUCGUUUCUAGUCUGGUUUUACUUCCCUAGUUUUCCCUCCUUCGUUAAUCACUCAUGAGUUUCACCUGUGUCUCCUCUGCCUCACCUGUUGCUCGUUUACCGCUGUGUUGCUCCAUUGUUGCUCUUCAUUUUAACAAUUCCUUUUUUGUCUGCAUUUUUGGGUCCUUCUCCUUUGUUUAACCCUGGCUUCAUGACGCUCUUGACUCAAUAAUGGAACGCUUUUUCUUUUUUAUAUACUGUAUGAAUCAUAUUCAACACAAGCCACUCUACAUAAAUGCUCUUUUCACUCUGUAUUAUUGUCCUUGAAUUGGCUUCCGUUAUGCAGUAAACACUUUCAGCUGGCAUCAGAGGACUGACGGACCGUCUGUUCGGCCAGUGAACAGGGGUAUGUAAGGGUGACCAUAUUCUGAAUGCCCAAAAAGAGGACACUACUACGCAGGGCCGAAUCUUGGAGUCGCGUAGGGUAAAUUUUUAGGGUUUUUCGGGUCAAGUCGAGUGUUUUUUACAUGUUCUAACUCAGUUAGUCCAUGCUACACAAACUCUAAACUCCCAUAUGUAUGGUCGCCUUUGGUAUAUCUCAGUGGACGUCUUGUGCAGUACACCUGUCCUUAAGAUCUCAAACUGGUCAGAGAUGAUGGGCUCUAUUUUCGUGCCUCAAUGGCGGCGUGGUGCAGGCAUGGUGCAAGUACACCCUCCCCCAUCUCAGCCCCUUUUAUAUUCGUAUUUCUGUACAGUGUUGGCUUCCCUUGGUCACCAAAAGUCUUUUCGUACCUCUCAUUUAAGUUGGAUUUGAAUGCAAUAAGCGGAACCUGACUGCAUGUGCAUAUAAACUGCUAACUGCCUGUUUAUGUCGUGGUAAAUAUGUCAGUAGAUCCUUAGAUAUCAUACAUGCAUUUCUGCUGUUUCAAGCCAAAUUUAAGAAGCUUGAAUGCUGCAUUCCAGUUACCUUGGAGGUUGGAGCCAGUUGUUGUUCGCUGUUGUUAGCUGCUUUUAGUUGUUGUUCGCUGUUGUUAGCUGCUUUUAGUUGUUGUUAGCUGUUGUUAGCUGCUUUUAGUUGUUGUUAGCUGUUGUUAGCUGCUUUUAGUUGUUGAUAGCUGUUGUUAGCUACUUUUAGAUGUUGUUAGCUGUUGUUAGCUGCUUUUGGCUGUUGUAAGCUAUACCAGUUGAAAACAGCCCAUAACACAGUAUUUUACUCUUACACCAUAGCACCGUGUUCAAAGUUAGACGUUGGGUAGUACAACAUAUACCACUUAUUUAAUUUCACAAAAACAAAACAGAAGUGCUAAAAAAUAAUACAUUAGCCGACAAGUGCUUUCACUGUUACUCUUUACUGUUGAUGCACUGUGCUGCUGUCUUGGAUUAUGACAUUCUCGUCAAGUCAGGGUUGGUGAGGAUCGUCUGACUUUCCGAUUCCUAAUUCCGACUUAAGGGGGGUGUUCCAGAUGAAUUUCCAACUGGGAACUCAAAAAAUACAACUUCCAAGUAAAAAUGAAAUGCAGCGUAAGUCGAAGUGACACAGUCUUGAAAAUAUUGGUGUUGAAGUCAAUAAAAAACACUAUCUCCUCACCUCUGCUUACCUUCUUUGUGCAUGUCUGAAUCUGGGAAUUGGAUGCGCAGUGUGACUGUGAUUUAUAACCACACACUCUGCACAAUACUGCUGCAGCAGCUUCAGAAAUCAGAGUGACACAAUGUUUGUACAAGAAGUCAAGCAGAAGCGUCAAGUCUGGUGUUUUUAUCUCUUGUUUAAUGAGUGUAUUUUUAGUGGAGGUUCAGGAUUUGUCUCUGAGUUUUGACAUUAUUCUGUCAGAGCGGAGAAGCCUCUCUCUCUCUCACACACACACACACACACACACACACACACACACACACACACACACACACACACACACACACACACACACACACACACACACGCGCACACAAACAAACACAGCGUUACACACUCUGAGCAGAAUGCAGAUAACCUUUCUCUCUCUUCUUUAUAUUCCCCAGAGGAUCUGACCUCCAAAGGUUAGGCCGCUAUUCUGAAAAGCCAAGCCGCCGCUCACUGUUGUAGUUUUCUUUAAAAAAAAUGACAUGAGGCCUGACAUCGAGCAGUUUAUAGACAAAAUUGUGUAUAUGUGUGUGAAUGUAAAGCUGUGUAUUUUCUCCACUCUGACCUGAACACCUUGUUGAACAGUUAGUGAUAUUUUCAGUGUCUGUGGGGGCUAAUUUACCCUCUAAUUAACUGUCACAUCAUCCUGUUUAACUCAGUAACUGACACAAUAACACUGUAACUGAGAAAUAAAGCUCAGCUGAAUGUAAAAACUAAGAAGGUGAGAGUAGAGAGGACUGUGAGGUGUAGAAAUAGCUAGUUUUACAGUCUGUUUAAGGGCGGAAAAGUGUGUAAUGCACUUACUUUGGAUGUUGUCAGAUCUAACUGUGGUUUUAAGCAGACUGGAAACUCACAAUACUUGACAGGCAGGAGAGAGGACGGUGCAGUCAGUCUGAUCAGGGUAAUAUUGAGAAAAAGCCUUGAGUUGAGCUUUAUGCAGCUUCAGGACAAACCUGAACAGUGUUUGGAGAUCCAUCACAAAGAAAAUAGACAUUAGGGCUGCACCAUUCAUCGCAGUGUCUUUUUUGAUCUUAAGGAUAAACUACCACCAUAGACUGUACAUACUGUGGACAACUUUGUUCUGCCUUCCGCCAGUAUUUGAAGCCGAAAAGCUCUCAGUAAUUCCAUGUUUUUUCUCCACUUCCUACAACCAACAUUGUGCAGUAGCAUUGUACGCAUUCAGUGGGAUGCAUCUUCGUAUGCUGUAUCAAGUGUCAAUCAUAGAAAACAUGAACACCCUAAUAAUUUUUAAAAACGGAGCUGCACAGAAAAAAAGAGGACUUGAGCACAAACCAGUCUUACUGUAACUACAUGUCAACAUUGCAAGCAGGGGGGAGGAAAAUUUAUAUUCUGUGAAAUAAAUUUCUAAAGUUUGUCCACAGCUCCAUAAGGAGGGCUGGAGGAGGCGGGAUUUACGACCUAUACUGCAGCCCGUCACCAGAGGGUGCUGUUCUCGGAAUGGCUUCACCCAGCAAGGAGGCAGAUGCUGUCCAUUCUAUGUACAGUGUAUGACUACAGGUCCUUUCACACUGGGAGCAUUUUUUUCAUGCGAUUAUUUCAGAUACCAAUUUUUUUUUUCUUUCGAACCCGUAUCCUGUCAAUUUAAGGGUUCACAUCAGCAACGUUUUCCCGUCCUGUGAUAUUGCAGCAUUUAUUUUUUCGUAUCAUGGUAAAAUUUUCUAAAGUUUGGCAUACUGUGUGUCCACUUAUGACCAAUCAGAUUGCGUGUUGUUGCGACGUCAGAUUCACCGGUAUAUCCAACAUGGCUGACUGGCUGAUUGUUUACGUGUCAGAGAACAGAGUGCUUUUGAUAAAAGACACAAAUAUUACAAAGAUAACGACCUUAAGGACAACAUAGCAUCGGAUUUCUCAUAUGACGAUGGUUUGUGUGCUUUAACAGUUUGCUAAACGUCCUUGUUUUAACUUUCAUCUGUGCUAAGUAACUUUAGCUCGUAAGCUAACAUGUUCAGAUACAACAUACCAUAUGUACUUUCUCUGUCUCAAACUCAGUCACGUUGCUGUCACAGCACCAUUAGGUCUCGGUUGUUACCUUAUGUUUAUGGAUUAUAGUUUAAUGUGCUUAUCUGGUACUGGCCCCGACUCAGUACAUGCUAUCAUGACAGACAAACAUCUCAACACUAGUGUCCAAUCAGAACUGAAAAACAGUCAGUCUGCUGUUGUGUCAGUCUUCUCGCUUCCACCCGGGACAAGUCUUUUUUACCCCCGAAAAGUCGCAAAAACGCAUCGCGCUUGAUGUGUAUAGUCAGGGGCGUCAAAAUUCUUCUCAGAAUAUUUCGUAUAUUUGCGUUGGUCCCGGUGUGUAAGGACCUUACCACCCACAACAAAGACAGUUGGUUCAAUAUAAUCUUAACCUCUAACAGGUUGAGAUUAAGCUGAAGGUAGACCACAAAGUUAGCACCGGCCUAUAUCAGCUGAGAGCUCAGCCCCAAAACUGUGUUUUUUGCAAACAGCUUUGCAACCUGCCUCCACCCAAACUCCUCCUUUUUAUGCUGUGUAUGAUUUGACAACCGUCUGCCGGAUGGUGGACCAAUGCCUGCUCUGUUUUGUAGCCUACAACUGCUGCUCUCCCAGCCUUGACUUUUCAGCACAUUUCAGCACCCUUCCUUUUUUUUGCAUGCACAUAAAAACAAGACGAGGUGCACUCCCUGCCUUGGCCUUUCAUGUAUGCACACAAAGAGUGGGGAGGUGUACUCUACCUGCCUUGCUUUUGCAUGUGUGAGCAUAAAAUAGAUACACCCUAAAAAUAGAUGCUAACCCUCUGAACAUAGUAAAAGAUUUCCUUACUCAUUUUGAUUGAAUUCACCGUUUAGAGCUAAAAUUAAUUCAUGUUUACUCUGCUAAAUGGUUUGGGAUAAUGUCUUAAAAGAUUUUAUUUUAUAAUGACACUUUUGCAAAAACUAGAAGAUCAUACUGCAGGACAAACCCUCAGAAAGACUACUUCACUCUUUUAUUGUUCAGGUUUGCUUCUGCUUGCACACUGAAAAGCUUUUCCACCGCAUGUUAAGAUGAUGGUAUACAGGCAUCUAUUCAGGCAGCAUCACUUUGCAGAGAGCGUCUGCUUAUUCUCUCUCCAAGGACGGAGCGAUAGCACUGAUUAGAAAAUCGAGAAGAUGGAGGAAAAGAGCUUCUUUCAAAGCCCCGAAUGUGCUGCUCUUUAACAGCGUCCUCUUUUUCCUUCUCUUUGUCAUGAUCUCUCUCUUUUUUAACUAUUUCUGUGGAUGUGAGUAACGUGCAUGCAUUAGCCUGUGUGUGGGAGUGUUUGCAGGUUUCUUCCUCGCAGUGUGAGAGUGCAGAGUAAGUGUGAAUAUGCUGAAUUACAUCUGAUGCGUAGGUGUGUUCUCCGAGACAGAGAAGCGUGCAGUACCGCUUGCCGCCAUGUGGGGGAGCUCUGCUGCUUCUGCUCCUGUGUCUGCCUUUUUUUUUUCUCUUCUCCAGUUCUCCACCAAAGAACCUUGCUCUGAAAUAGAUGUGCUCCAGUCCCGUCAAGCGCUGUAACACAAUCACUUACCUAAGAGAUGUUACCGAUAUCCAUCCACACCGAGGAUAGGGGGGGGGGCUGAUUCUGCAGCCGACAUAAAGCAUCCUUGUUGCCAUAGUGAUCCUCCUCAUCUCAAACUGGACCUUGCAUCCACUCAGAGCUCACUUUGUCAAGGUGGAUGGAUUUGCAAACAGCAGAAAGGAUGAUGUGGAUUUGGGAGGGCGGUGAUGUCAGAGCGGAUGGAGGGAGGUGAUCAGCUGCGGCUGCUGUAAAAGAUCCUUAAAGGAGGUCAUCCAUCUUUUUUUUGUCUCUAUUUUCAGCCGUCUUUCUCUCUUUUUUCAACACCCAGGGAUUAUGCAGCAACUUGAUCCAUUAUUCAUGACUCAGCAAAAGUAAUAACACUUCCACCGCGGGCAGAGUCUCCUCUUUUUUGGGGUGUUUUUAUUCCCACAGGACCCUGUUUUCUGAGCUAUGGACUAUAAUUUACUGUACUGUGUAAAGGCAGGGAGCGAGUGUGUGAUAAAGUGCGGGUUCUGCAGGUCUGGUGAGGUGAGCGUUCUGGUUAGCAAUCAGUUCAGGUGUGCCACAGUGCCUGUUUGUGGUGCAGUGUGCUGUGAAACAGGCUCUUACACUCUGAGGAGUGAUGCUUUUCUUCGCUUUCAGCAUCUCCCUGGAGUUUAUGGAGGCUGAAGAAAUCUCAGGACACUGAAGAGGGAAAAUGUGACCCUCAGAAAUGCUUUGAAUCAGACUGGACUGAUCAAUGAGGCUGCUGCAGAGUGUUGCUGCAUAUUUAGAGGAGGACAUACAGCUACUUUGAUAAAUGCUAUACUGGGCUAAGGUCAGUUUUAGUUGGGCAGCUAUUUGAGAUUUAGGAUGAAAAUACUAUAUCGUUUUAGUCCUAUUUUGGUAGCUUCAGUUUCAGUUACUUUGGCUUGAUUUAUUUCAUAAGACUUCAAGACUGUGUGUUCAUAAAGAAGCAGAAUUGCAAUUUUACAACGGUCCCUAAAUGUGCCUGGGUUGACUGAUGAUGUAAAAACAUCCAGUUCAUUGGAGCUGCAUCUCCGUUUUUGAUCGUCUGGAGUUGAUUUAACAGUGGCCCUGAGGGGGAAAACACUAGGACAAAUCAGAAAAGACAACACACAAAAAAAGAAAAUAUAACACAAAAAGAGGAAACACAACAGAAAGAGAGACAACACAACUGCAAAUCAGAAAACACAACACAGAAAGACAAAACACAACACAAAAAUAGAAAACACAAGAAAAGUGAGUAAACACAAGGGCAAGGGCAAAUCAGAAAAGACAACACAAAAAAGAAAACAAAACAAAAAAAGAGAAAACACAACAGAAAAUCAGAAAACAACACAUAAAAAAGAAAAAACACAACUGCGAAUCAGAAAACAACACAAAAAUAGAAAACACAACAGAAAAAGAAGUACACACAAGGAAAAAAGAAAACAACACAAAAAGAGAAAAUGCAACACAAAAAGGAGUAAAAGCAAGGAAAAUAGAAAACAACACUAAAAGGAAAAACACAACACAAAAAGAGAAAACACAACAGAAAGAGAGAGAAAACACAACUGCAAAUCAGAAAACACAACACAAAUAGAAAAAAUACAACAGAAAAAGAGAAAACAACAGAAAAGGAGUAAACACAACGAAAAAAGAAAACAAAAAAAGAGAAAACGCAACGGCAAAUCAGAAAACACUACACAAAAAAGAAAAAACACAACUGCGAAUCAAAAAACAACACAAAAAGAGAAAACACGACAUAAAAAGGACUAAACACAAGGAAAAAAGAAAACAACACAAAAUGAGAAAAAAAGACAGAAAAAGGACUAAACAGGAGAGAAAAAAGAAAACAACAGAAAAAGAGAAAUCGCAACGGCAAAUCAGAAAACAACACAAAAAGAGAAAAAAAGACAGAAAAAUGACUAAACACAAGGAAAAAAAGAAAACAACACAAAAGGAGAAAAUGCAACGGCAAAUCAGAAAACAACACAAAAAGAGAAAACACGAAAGAAAAAGGGGUAAAAGCAAGGAAAAAAGAAAACACAAAAAGAGAAAACGCAACACAAAAAGAGAAAUCACAAUGGUUAAUGAUUUAUUUUCCGAUUUGCAGUUGUGUUUUCUCUUUUUCUUUUGUGUUUUCUCUUUUUCUUUUGUGUUUUCUCUUUUGUUGUUGUAUUUUCUCUCUUUAUGUCGUGUUUUCUGAUUUGCUGUUAUGUUUUGCACCUCAGGGCCACCGUAUGAUCCAGACUUUGAAACAUCAAAUAUCCUGUCCAACAUAUCGCCAAAGUAGCAAAAAUCAAUGCUUGGACACGGGGUGAAUGUGUCUUUGUUGCUGACAUGCAUUGUAAGAAAUUAUUGAUGGAAAUGAGAUGAUUGUACCUGAACGACACUUGUAAAGAUUUGUGCUCUAAGCUCCCAUUUAUUUGUGUAAAAUUUCCUGCACUUGGCCUGCCUGAACUAACACUUGCCUUAAUUUCUUCAAGCUUAGAAAACAGUGGGAGCAGCUGAUUUGAAACAGUGUGAUUUUCCCUGCAAACACUGACAUGCAAUGCUAUUUCUGAACUUAACACUCUGGUUCUUUCCCACUCAUGUGUUUUCUUCAACGUGUAAUUCAAAUAGACGUCCCACAGUCUGUCCUCAGAGUCAGCUGUCUGCACACUGAGUUUGUUUUUAUCUCCUCACCUCCACAAUCAAUACUUUCUGCUCGGCGCGCUCAAGAGGACACAGACGCUGUGUGUCAAAUAAAUAAGAAAACGACUGGAUUUACAGGCUAAAAGCCUGCAGGCUGCAGAAAUAACAGUGUACGUUCUGGAUGUACAGACGGAUACAGCCUCACUGUCACUCCUGGGUGCUUCACACAAGGCCUGUUUCUACAGGAGUAUUUAAAGUGAAUCACUAUGCAAGUUUAAUGUGGUUUUCUGCACAUUUCAUUUGCAUAACCUGCCUCUCUUCUCAUGCUCCUCUUAAUGCAUAUCUAAGUGGAGGCAUGCUGCCACUUUAUUUACUUUUAUUCUUAAUAAUUGACGUUUUUUUCAUCCUUGACCUUCAGAAUCAUUCAUCCACAAACACUGAGAGGAAUCUGUUAACAGGACCCAGCUGAUAUUUUUCUGUUGUGGUGCGAAAUCCCCCCCAAAAAUUUGAUCAAAUAACCAGAGCCUGAGGGUUUGCUGCUCUGCUUGAGUAGUAAUCCCGCCCUGCAGAGCGACUCAGAGGGCACGGCUGGGAUUUACUGAACAUUCAUUUAUUGUAGGUAACAGCAAAACUCAUGCAUUCAUUUUAAAAACUACACCACUGCUUAUAAAUAUUUUUUUUUCUUUUUUCCUGAGUUUGCAUGCUUUCAAUCAAAUAUAAGUGUGAGAGAUGUUCAGUUUGAUGAGUGUCAGUCAAUUUGUAGGAAAGCAUCAUUUAAGUUCAGGCCUUGUGUAGAUUCUCCACCACAACUAAAAGGUCAGAGUCCAAACUUGGUCUUGGAAACUUGAACCUUUAGAUGAACUGAUUGAAUCUUAGCAUGAAGUUCAUAAAACAUGCACACAUUUUUUUUCACUUACAGCCAAUAUCAUAAGAAAUAACACAGAAUCUUAAGUCUAGGUUUUGGUUUACAAUGCAGAACAUGUAUGAGCGGGAGUGAAUAUUUCUGAUGGAAGAGUCCUGACAUUUUGCAGGAGCACGGUCUGUGUGGACGAUCUCAGUCCACUGUGGUAAUCUAACCUGUGGUGAACACGCUGACUCUGAUUAAACAGUGACUUCACUUUAAUCAGUGAGUGCAUUAACAUGGAUUUGAGUGUUUGUUUUCAGAUACUGGGAUAAGCCCUGAUCUGGAUUUUGAAAACCUGAUUUUGCUACCUGGAGAAUUCUAGCUGCUGACUUCUUGCACAGGUACAAAAUGAUGUGUCAGCAAAACAGACAUAAAAAAAGAGUUUUGUCUUGAUAAUAUACUUUUUAAAACAUUUAGUUUAUCUCAUCGUAACCUGACCAUUGAAUAGUACUGUUGACCUCAAUUAACUGACACAGUGAUGAUUUUCUACAGUAAUGGAGGAAGUGUGGAAUUCAAAGCUGACCUGAGCACACUCUCACUACACCAAACAUCUGACAAGGUUCUUGUGCAAUACGAUACGAUACGAUACCAUACAAUACGAUAUGAUACAAUACGAUACGAUACAAUAUGAUACGAUACAAUACAAUACAAUAUGAUACGAUACACUUUAUUGUCCCCUUAGGGAAAUUUGUCUUGGACUCCAAGAGCUGCACAGAUAAAGCUGCCAACUGAUGACACAAAGUACUAGACCUAACAAAGAGACAAUCACACAACCCAUGCACACUGCACAUACCCAUAUUGCACAAGAAUCCAAUAGAAAUGGCCGAAAGAAACGCAAUGACAAUAAACAACAAUGACAAAGAACAACACACAGCAAGGUGAGACAAGGCAAACAAGACCAAAAAGGAAAUGAUUGUGGAGGUUCUUUGAGUUCUACACCACAUACAGCAAACUGAAAACAAAACAAAACAAAAAAGAAAAAAACAAAGAUAGAGCUGACGCUAGAAAACAACUGUCUAAAGGUUCUCACACACCGGGAACAACGCAAAUAUACAACGCGAAAUUACAAAUUAUUAGGAGGCGAAUUUUGAUGCGUCUGACUAUACACCACCAUCAAGUGGGAUGCAAUUUUGUGACUUUCCAGGGUAAAAAAGACAACAACCGAGACCUAAUGGUGCUAUGACAGCAACGCGAUUGAGUUUGAGACAGUGAAAAUACAUAUGGUAUGUUGUAUCUGAACAGAUUAGCUUACGAGCUAAAGUUACUUAGCACAGAUGAAAGUUAAAACAAAGAUGUUUAGCAAACUGUUAAAGCACACAAACCAUCGUCAUAUGAGAAAUCCAACACUAUGACUCUCCACAAGUUGUCCUUCAGGUCGUUAUCUUUGUAAUAUUUCUGUCUUUUAACAAAAAGCACUCUGUUCUCCGACACAUAAACAAUCAGCCGGUCGGCCAUGUUGGAUAUACCGGUGAAUCUGAUGUAACAACAACACGCAAUCUGAUCGGUCAGAAGUGGACACACAGUAUGCGAAACUUUAGAAAAAUCAACCAUGAUCCGAAAAAAUUAACACUUGUAUUGACAGGAUACGGGUUCUAAAAAAAACCCGCUCCCGUUGUGUAAGGACCUUUACUCUUCAAUUAUAACUACUGUGGCAGGAGAGGAAGUACCAUGGUGGAGUCUCCUAUCACAGCCUGACAUAUUAAAAGGAGACCUGCACUCAGCUCCUGUAUUUCUGGCUCAUAAUGUUAAGACUUAGUUGUCGAACUGUUCAAUAACCUCUUGGUUUAAAGUCUUGACAAGUACGAUGCUAAUAUUAAUAAAACCACAAAAGAAUAAUAUUAUUGUUAAAUGUGUGGUGGUAGGGCGUUCCAACAAAAAGUUGGAUAUUACACUCAGUCACAAUCUGAGUCCACCACAGCAGGUCGUAAGUUGUUUCACUGAUAAAAGUGUGCAAGGCAAGUGUGGAAAACAGUCCACUUUCAAACGUCUUUGCUCUUGGAAAUAAAAGCCUUCACUUAAUGUUUUUAUUUGGUUAGGCUACAUUAUGGUUAUUCAAAAAUACUAAUUUCAAGCUCAACAAGGUCACCUGAGAUUCAGAGGCAGCCCUCUUCAGCUUGUUUUCUUUUCUAAUGGCUAAUGCAUUAAAUCUAUUCUGGAGCAUGUUUACUUAGACGCAUAAAACCUUUGCAUCAAACACUCAAACCUUCAAGAUAGUUCGAUUUGCACUCACACAAACCCUGAGUGGAGCUUUCAUGCAAAAUUUCACUCUUUAAUGCUGCAACUAAGUGAUUUUGAACUGCUUCUCAUCCAAAACCGAGAGUUUUAAGAUGUCAUUUCAGAAUUGGGCAAACUGAAAUUAGCUUGUUCCUACAUUUUCACAUUAUCUUGUACGUGUUUUAGAGAAUGACUGCUAUUACUGCUGCGUAUUGUACUCAGAUGUGUUUAUAUUUGUUUGCAUGCCACAGCCUUUGUGAGCGUCGAGUAUUAUGAAACCGGAGUUGCAUUUUUUGUCGUGCACAGAUUUAGCUGAUAGCUCUAAUCCUGUUACUUUAUCAUCAAACAAUAACCUGAUUCAUCAAAAACAUCAUGAGUUUUUUUAAUGUGUUGAGUUCCGACUAUCUGAAACAUGCAGGUUUUUUUUGUGAAGCUGAAUAUUGUACUUGAGGACAGACACAUCUGAGCCGCUGUUCAUCACGACUGGAGAGCGGUGGGUGGAGGAGGUGAUGAGUAACUGUGCUGCUCCGUCAGCAGCUCCUGAGUGAUGCUCUUAAAGUCGCUCCCAGGUGUUGGUGUGUGAGGGCAGACAAAACGGCACUUCUCUCUGAAUAAACUCACACACUUCUGUUUGACGUGCUCCAAACCAGGACGUAGAGAUGUGCCAUGGGCGUGCAGGAGGUGGGGAGCAGCUGAAGGUGUCCUCCAUCUUUCUACCUGCAGCUAAAGGCCGCUCUGUGGGAGUAAUGAGCCACAUUAGGAGCAGCUGCAGAUAAAAACGCCUCUAAGAUUUUAUCAGAGUGAGGAGCUGCAGAUCUGAGAUGCAGAAUAAACCCUGCAGCUCUGCGCCCCUGUGUGUGUGUGUGUCAGGUGAGGUGAGUCUCCUUUAAUCUCUGAUUAAGUCAGAUCAUUUCUGCAGACAGAGCCGACCAUCACAGCUCACACUGAUAUCAGAGCAAAGAUCAGCUCUUAAGGUGGACUUAAUUCAAUAUUGAUCAAAGAUUUAAGGUCUGCCUUUUAAGUCAAUGCAGGAAAUUUUAUUUUAAGGUUCCCUUAGGUGUUUUCAAUUCAUCGAUUGGAGUCAGUGUCCAAAAAGGAAAACUGCACGAUCUGCAGAGUUUAUUUUUAAAGAAAAACUGUGUUUGUUUUAUUCUCACCUGAGCGAACAGAAAACAUACCUGCCCUGAAAACACGCAUAGAAAAGACAAAUAACUCACACCUUUUCUUCAAAUUCAAAUUUGUUUACAAGUUGAAAUUAUACUAUCCAUCCUUUCUUUUAGCAAAGCUAAUUAAUGGUCACAAAUUAAGUAUUCCCUGCUAUAUCCACACAGAUCAUGAAAUAGUCAUGAAGAGUCAAGUAUAGAUCUGUCUACGCUGGCAACUUUCCGAGCAGCUCAGCUCAGCCCCCUUGGGAGAAAUUGCUUUGCACACAGAAUGUUAGAGCACAUUACUGAGACAGACUUUAACAAUGCCACUAGACAGCACAUAAUGAGCAUCAAAAUAAAACAUUUAAAAAGUGCAUUUGGGAACAUUCUAUGGUAACUCCAUAGUUUGCAGGCUAAAAGUUGCUCCAAAAGUGCAAGGAUGCGCUGAAAACAGCCAAAACUCAGACUCAGUAUUUAUUCCCUGUCAUAGAAAACACCUCAACGCAAGAUGACAGCUGAAACAGAUGUAUAACAACUCUAAGAUCUUAAAAAAACCCAGCAGAUACCAAUUAUCUCAGCUGCAUUACCACUACCUUCUGCACCGGAUGUUACAUGAGCAUGUAAUUUGAUAGCAGGCCGAGAAAAGCUUCAAGUCUGACAGAGAUGAACACCCCUUACAGAGUUUAUUUGGAGUACUUCAGAGACCUCAGGGAUUCAACAUGUUAACUCUACUGAGUUGAGCUCAAUGCUGUUAAAUAGCUGUUUGUCAGGUGAGUUGUUAUAAUAGUUACUUUGACUUUUGGCUUAAAUUAGUCAAAUAUAAUUUCUUUUUAUAUAUAUUUUUUUGGUAGUUAAGGUCCACCGGGAGCUUUUUUUUCGUGCGAUUAUUUCGGACGUCAAUAUUUUUUUCGAACCUGUAUCCUGUCAUGACAAGCGUUUACAUUAGCGACAUUUUCCUGUCCUGCCAUAUUGCAGCUUUUUUUUUUUUUUAAGUAUCAUGGUCGAUUUUUCUACAGUUUCACAUACUGUGUGUCCACUUCUGACCAAUCAGAUUGUGUGUUGUUGUGACAUCUUAUUCACCAAUACAUCCAACAUGGCCGACAGGCUGAUUGUUUACGUGUCGGAGAACAGAGUGCUUUUUGAUAAAAAACACAAAUAUUACAAAGAUAGCGACCUGAAGGACAACUUGUGGAAAGUCAUAGCGUUGGAUUUCUCAUAUGAUGAUGGUUUGUGUGCUUUAACAGUUUGAUAAACGUCUUUGUUUUAACUUUCAUCUGUGCUAAGUAACUUUAGCUCGUAAGCUAACCUGUUCAGAUACAACAUACCAUAUGUAUUUUCACUGUCUCAAACUCAAUCUCGUUGCUGUCACAGCACCAUUAGGUCUCGGUUGUUACUUAACGUUUAUGGAUUAUAGUUUAAUGUGCUUAUCUGGUACUGGCCCCGACUCAGUACAUGCUAUCAUGACAGACAAUCAUCUCAACACUAGUGUCUAAUCAGAACUGAAAAACAGUCAGUCUGCUGUUGUGUCAGUCUUCUCGCUUCCACCCGGGACGUAUCUUUUUUCCCCCAAGGAGUCGCAUCGCGCUUGAUGUGUACAGUCAGGCCUGUCAAAAUCCGCCCUUGAGUAUUUCGUAAUUUCGCGUCGCAUAUUUGCAUCAUUCCCGGUGUGUAAGGACCUUUAGAGUUAUAAUACGCUUAGAAUCCUGCUUAUAUCUCAAACUAGCCAAAUUAUGUCCACCUGACCAUUUAAUCUCACAUGAUCUAACCCAGAACUGAAUGACAGAAUUGUUGUUACUAUGAUAGAAUUUAGGGGUCCAGGUGACAUAACAGGAACCUUAGUGUGGUCUUAACGACAUGAUGGAGGAUGAAACAAAGGAGACUGUCACAUCUCCUGAUUAGUUAAGUACUGUUUCCUAUUUUUUUUAUAUUCACCUUUGACUCUUGUAUCAGGUUCAUUACUUCCUCCUCCUUGUGUCACCUGCUCCCCUGAUUACCCUGAUGUGUCUCACCUGUGUCUCGUUAACUCCUCUGCCCUGGUGGAUUUAAACCCAGCUUUCCCUCCCCUCUGUUUCUGUAUGUCUUGUCUUUAGUGUCAGAGCUCCAGCAUAUAUUUCUAGUGUUUGCCUCAGUGUUUUGACCUCAUUUUAGUUUCUAAUUUUAGGACUUGUAUACAUGUAGCCGGGUAUUUUUAUGAACGAAUAUCCAAUCCCUGCUGUUUAAAAAAAAGAAAAAGUCAUGUACACAAAUCAUCGUUUUCAAAUAAAAUCCCAUCCACUCAAAACGGUGUAAGUGUGCAAUUGACCUCGGUUAUAAGCAUGCUAGUAUUUGCCAAAAAGUGAGAUCCAUUUUAUUCAAUUAGAGCAAGCUUCCCUUUCUAGUUGUCACUUCUCCAAACAUGAAACAUAGCGCUGUGGAGUUCGUUCAUGUGGACCAACAAAGAGGCAAAAUUGCUUUUCAGCAUCGUUUUGGAGUAUAAAGUCAACAAGACACAAGAAAGGUGAAGGGAGGGUUAUUUGGUGCAGGAAACUGACUCCUUCUCCUUUGCUCCUCACAAAAAUAUAUAUUCUGUAUAUAUAUCUGUGCUGACAUAAACAAGGGCCCAUCGUAUGGACACUGACGUUUGGGGAUUGGGGACACACAAACGCAAAACCAGAGUUUUCCAAAAUCUUCACUUUGGCUGGAGUUUUUCAAAAGCACAGUUUUUUAAUGACAUGAUCUUGCAGUUUCGUGUGGAUGGCAAACCAAAGCAUAUAAAAAUAUAUUCAUUUUAGCAGCAAGGCCUUAGCCUCUCUAGCCUGUCAAUUUGGAUCCUGUGUACUGACUGUUUUUUGAUUAAACAGACUUUGAUUUUGCCAGCCUGUGAGUUUGCAUCUGGGUCUUCAUUUGGUUCAGUGUUACAGAGAUCUGCACUGUGAUGAUAUUUUUAAAAUUUUUAGCAGUGUAAACACAAAUAUUCUGUUCCAAAAAAAAAAAAAAAGAAAUAAAGUUCCUCGUUCUUCAAUCUCAGCUGUUUUUUUUAUCCAUCCUGCUUAGCAGUCGGAGAAUAUUUUUUUUGGCAGAAAAAAACUCCAGGAAAUGUUUACGUGAAAUUUUCUAAAUUUUCAGGAGUUUUGUUCAUGUGUGAAUACAUAUUUUAAUAUGUUUCAAUGAACUGUUGAAGCAUUUUAUUUGACAGCUAAUCUGAUUUAACAGACAAACAUUUCUUUUUGGUGCACAUGUAUUCCUUUAUUUGAUAAUCUUUUGCGUGCAUGACUCUUAAAAAGCCACUUCAGCGCAGCUUUUUAACCUCUGAAUAGAAAUAUAUCUUUAAAGCUUUGCUUGAAUACACAUAUUUACUCAUUAACCUUAUUCAAUUAACUCCCUCUCUGAGUCCACACAAAAUCUGACCGGGUCAGAUAUGAGCAGCAUCUGGUUCAUCUGUGAGCUUCAUAAUGACACAUUAACGAGCUCAGUCACAGCUUUAAUCAGCCGCUCUGCAAACUCUGAUGAUAUACAAUUAUGUAAAGACCCUUCCUCCGCUCAGAUGUGGAGUUUUUAAUAGCGAUGCUUAAUGCUCUCAUUAGCAGAGCGCUCCACACCCACACAUGCUCUGUAUGCACAUAGUCACAGAGAGAAGGUGACUCCAGCAUGCUAAUUAGAGAGUGCAAAGUGCUUUUUAAACUAUUAUUGAUGUUUUAGUAAUCGUUACUGCGCUUUGAUUCAGUCAGAAAAAAAGAGGCUGCAGAGGAUGUUUUUUCCUGCACAAACAUAUCCUACUGAGCGAUGAUGGCAGCAAUAAUUUAUGCAAACUACGCCCUCUAUAAUUACCUCAGUGGACUUGUGUUUGCUUUGUUAUCAUUUUCCGCUCGUUGUUACACUUGCAAAUGUGUGCACAGAGAGGCAGAGUGAUCUUUCAGCGGUGUGACGCUCAUGUUUCCCCCUUCAGGCCUUGUGUCCCUGGUGUGGGAUGCAAAUAGCCGACUGAAAGAAACUCUGACAGAGAGGAAUCACAGGGUGCUGUGAGCAGAGGGGCUGCAGGGCGUUCAGUGUAUCAAUAAUGAGGGAUGGGAUGCGGCUCGUUCAUGUUUGGGCUCCAUCUCAGGGGUGAUUCUAUGGAAGAAGAAGCUGCAGGAUUCAUGAGGGAUGCCCGGGCUCAUGAUCUGCCAUGUUUCUGUCUCCUGCUGGUGAUUGACAAACGCUGACACGCUCAACCUCUGACUGUGUAUUAAGAUGGAUGAUGCGUCUCCAGCUCCACCUGUUGCACUCCAGAGAUGCCAAAAUCCAACUAAGGCAAGACAGGGAGAAGCAUCCUGCACUGACUGUGGAGUCAGGGUCUGCACAGAGGGGAUCAGCAGAUGGAGCAGAGGUAAAGAUGUGUCUGCUAUGAUGCCACUCACUAUGAUGGACAGGAGGAGACAUAAGGAUGCUAUGCACUUUAGACUACACUAAUAUUCAAGGUGUGAUCGAGAGCCAAAGAAAUAGUAGAAAGCAACAUAUGUAAACAAAGUACCAACUGGUAACUCCUUCAGUGGGUAAAAUGCGAACAAAAUGCCCCUGCUUAUUCUUUUAAUGGAUAAUCUGUAACCAAAGUGCCCUCUGGUUGCUCUUCCACAGGCUAGUAUGUAAACAAAGUGCCCUCAACAUGCCCAAACAGUGUAUAAAACAUUUCAAAAAGCGUUCUGUAGUUGCCCUUUUUUAGAGGCUAAAAUGUAAACAAAGUGAACUCUUGAUUCCCCUCAAGUCAAGAAAUUGUUUUAAAAAAAAGUGCCCUCUGGUUACUUGUCCAGUGCAUUAAGUGUAAACAAAGUGUCCUCUGGUUGCUCUUGUUCAGUAAAUCCAUCAUUAACAAAGAAAGCCCUCUCAGUCGCUCUAUUGUAACCAAAGUGCCCUCUGGUUACUCUUUCAGAGGCUAAUAUAUAAACAAAGUGCCCUCUACAUGCCCAAACAAACAUUUAAAAAGUGCUCUGUGGUUGUUCUUUUGUAGUGGAGAAGAUGUAAACAAAGUGCUCUGUGGUUGCUCUUGUAAAGUAUUAAAUGUAAACUAAGUGCCCUCUGGUUACUCUUUCAGUGGCUAAAACGUAAACAAAGCACCCCUUACAUGCCCAGACAGUGUAUAAAAACAUUUCAAAAAGCGCUCUGUCGUUGCUGUUUUUUAGUGAAUAAGAUGUAAACAAAGUGCCCUUUGGUUGCUAUUGUUAAGUAUUUAAAUGUUAACCAAGUAAACCACUCGUACAGAGGCUAAAAUGUAAACAAAGCGUCCUCUUGAUUCCCUCCAGUCAAGAAACCGUAAAGAAGUGUCCUCUGCUUACCCUUUCAGUGCAUUAAAUAUAAACAGUGCCCUCUGCUCAUUUUUCCAGCACAUUUAAUGUAAACAAUAUGCUCUCUUGAUUCCCCUCCAGUCAAGAAAUGAUAAAAAAAGUGUCCUCUGCUAACCCUUUCAGUGCGUUAAAUGUAAACUAAGUGCCCUCCGGUUAAUUCCAGUUGAUUAAAACAAAGUGCACUAUCGAAGCCUCUCCAGUGUACUGAAUGCAAACAGUCUUUUCUUAAAGCAGCUGACAGUUCACUCCACAUGAGCUGUAAAAUGUAUGUGCCCUCUCUCAACAAUAAUAACGCUGAUAAAUCUUGUAACUUGGAUUUCAGACGUGUCCUCAAAAGUUACACGAACUGUACCUUGGGUUAAAGUCGAUAAAUAUUAAAAGUUGAGUUGCUCCUUUUUAAGAGGAUUUAUUUAUAUUAAUAAGACACUUUUCUGUAGCUUCGGUCUGGAGCAGGAUUGUUAAAUGGAAUUAAAAUACUAAACAAGACCUCGAUAAAGCAGCCACAGGCUAACAGUUGUGUCCUCUUGGUGCUCAUUGAGUGUUAAACAGAUUGAGUUCACCUGAGCACAGGAGCAGAGAGGUCAAAUAGAGAAAAAUCUCCUCCGGGACUCAGAGUGAAGGAGUCAGCUGUGUGUUUCUCUGUGUCUGCGGGCUGUUUGUCUGCCAGCCGAGCAGCAUCUGAUCCCUGUGACAGGUUCACUCUGCCGCUUGCAUUCAGGAAAAACACAGAGCGAUGCCUUCAUAUUUACACAAACAGGCCCUGUUUCCUAUUUCAGCUCGGCGUGUCACAUGUCAGGGCUGGUUUUUAGUGUCAGGAGAGCAGCAUGGAGAGGAGCGGAGACAGCAAUGACAGGGUUUACCGUUCAGGGGGAGACAGGAAGAGUCCUGGGUGUGAAAACACAGGAGGAGAACUGUGACUGCUGUACACCGCUGCUGCCAUGAAUGGACGUUUGCAAUGGUAGAUACUGUAAAAAAAAAUACAGGAAGAUAGUAUUUGUGACCACACGCAUUCAGUACAUUUUAUAUAAUUUUAUGGCAACCACUAACUCUUCUAAGUCAGUGCUCUCCUCUUUCUCAGCUUUUAAUAUUUCACCUCCACCUUCAUCUUUCAGCUGUUAUUCAUCCCCCUGUCACCGACACAAGUCACACCUGCAGCUUGAAAUGUGUUCACCCUGCCUCUCACCAUUUUUCUGGCAUGCAUGCGAUCUGGUUGUACUUUUCAUCAGUAGUACAUUUUAAAAAGACGCCCAAUAAGACAGCUUUUAUUCGGAAAUGCGUCACUCGAUACGUCACAACAGGUGAUGUGUACAGGUUUGUAAAUGACAUUGCAUGCUGCGGGAUUGUGCAGAGUGAAAUCAGCGCAGAUGUAUGUAACGCGCUGUUAGUUUCCCAAAUGCUAAGUGCGGAAUACAAUGUGGGAUUGUCCAGUGAAUGGAAAAUUGAAAAAUGUACAAAUGGUUGGUGAAUACUUCCAAGUGCAUGCAUGGUUUGAAUGAGGAAAAACCUCAUGAGCAAGUGACUGUGUGUAGGUUGCGCCCAUGGGAGUAGUAGUGCUGCAGCAUCACAUUGUUAUUCAUUUGUUAUUUCAAAUGCCUUUUGUGAAGAGACUAAUCCAACCCUUCAAAAGAGACUGUGUUACUUGCUGUUUGGCGGGUUUGUGGGUGUUAAUGUCCUGAUUUUGUUGCAGGAAGAUUUGAAGGUCUUUAAAGGUUAAAAAAAAACAGCGAUCGAGAUAUCUAUAUCCAUCUACUAUCAGCUCUAUUUGUGCUAAAUCAUAGAGAAAAUGGAGAGAUAUGUCCCCAUGAUGGCCUUGCUUUGAAAAUUACCUGUAAACCACAUGGCUAUGAAAGAUAAUUUCCACCGACGGUUGUUUUUGGUAAUAGAUAAAUAUCGCUUUCCAGAUCUGUCCUGAACUGAAACGGCAGAAAAUGAAGCCAUUAAUGAUUCCUGUAUCCUGUAGCUAAGUGAAAGGGCGUGCCCACAUAACAACAGAGCUUCCUGUAAAUUGCUGUGGUAUUGAAUUUUAAAUCACUUCUUAUUUGCGAGUCCUUUAGUCCAGUUUGUCUCCGUCUUCACUGAUUGAGUAGCUUUAAGGAGUUCUUAAACGCAGCACAGAAGUACAUGAAAGCUCGGGAACAUUAAACAGAUCUCAAAAAGAAAAUUUACCUUCAGAUAUUUCUCUCUGCUAUAUUACUCUACUCCAUGCAGCUCAGUGCAGUGGAGGUUUCCUGGUAAUGUUAUGUCAUUUAGCUGUUUUUCUGCCUCUCAGAGUGAUACUGGCUAAAACUGUAAUGCUUUCCUGCUGCUCUCUGUCUCUAAUGGAUUCCUCUCUAUAUGAUUUCUGCUGUUUGCUGCAAACUGGCAGAAGACAGAUGCAGACAAAAGACUCACACAGAAGGAAAAUAGCACAAACACCAUUUAUUUUACUCUCACUGUGGAGUACACUGUGCUCUCAGAGCAGCAUGGAGGACACUCAAGGUUCAUACGCUCCCUUACGGAUACAUCUGCUCCUGUGUUUCCAGUUUAGGUUCAGGCAGACGACAGACCUUCAUUUAAUAACUUAUGGGUUUGAAAUAAAACGGUAACAACCAAGAUGGCUACUGCUAAUGCUGAACAUUAAAAUCUGUAUCAAAAUUCUAGAAUUAAAUCAUACAGUGGGUCAUGUAUAAAGGUCCUUACACAUCGGGAACAACGCAAAUAUACGAAAUAUUCGGAGGCGAUGCAAUUUUGCGACUUUCUGGGGGGAAAAAGAUGCGUCCCGGGUGGAAGCGAGAAGACUGACACAACAGCAGACUGAAUGUUUCUCAGUUCUGAUUAGACUCUAGUGUUGAGAUGACUGUCUGUCAUGAUAGCAUGUACUGAGUUGGGGCCAGUACCAGAUAAGCACAUUAAACUAUAAUCCAUAAACGUAAGGUAACAACCGAGACCUAAUGGUGCUGUGACAGCAACACAAUUGAGUUUGAGACAGUGAAAAUACAUAUGGUAUGUUGUAUCUGAACAGGUUAGCUUACAAGCUAAAAUUACUUAGCACAGAUGAAAGUUAAAACAAGGACGUUUAGCAAACUGUUAAAGCAC